GGUAAGCCUGAUGUUGCUGUG
RNAcentral lists this non-coding RNA (21 nucleotides) under Arabidopsis thaliana (thale cress). Lineage: Eukaryota; Viridiplantae; Streptophyta; Magnoliopsida; Brassicales; Brassicaceae. The record is from RNAcentral.